GGAUGCGCCUCCGACCCCUCGCUCCAGCAAGCCUUGCUCCACCUUGGAGCUGCAGCAAGGAGAGGGGCCGUCGUGCUCCUGCUUAGCCAGGCUGACUUUUACGAGGCCUUUCUCCGGAAAUAAGAAGUAUGGUAAAGCGAGGUGAUCUUCCCCCGCGGCUGCUGGUGUGGAUUAUGGAGCUGGCAGCAGCAGGAACGCAUUAAGGAAAGCUCCCAGCAAUGGCUUUCCAGAAAGGUCUUCGGAAGCCUCCCCCUGCUGCCUUCAUGCCGGCAGCAUCAUUUUUCAAGGCCCUCUCCCCGUUCUGGCGGGACGCGGAUACGGGAGGCUUUGUGCAGACCUGAUGCCCGGGCAGGAGGCGCCUCUGCUGCAGCCGCAGCCCUGUUGGGUUGGAUCCCAUCCCUGCGGGCAUGGGGUGGAAUGAUGCUGGUGGCAGUCCCAAACAUCUGGGAGUCUCACAGGACCCAAAUAGGAACCUUACGAGCCGUCACAUCCUAUUUACGGACAAGGCGCAGAAGAAGUUGCCUACAGCUGACAAAUAAACCUUGGAGUGUCAAUGA
This is a non-coding RNA of Anas platyrhynchos (mallard), 557 nucleotides long. Lineage: Eukaryota; Metazoa; Chordata; Aves; Anseriformes; Anatidae. The record is from RefSeq and is a predicted model, not a curated record.